GAAGCCGGCCAGACCGCCGCUGGUGCGAUCACCGAAAGGUGGCACUGGAGGAAGGUCCGGACUGCACAGGGCAGCGCAGGAGCUAACGACUCUCCACCGUGAGGUGAGGAUCAGAGCAACAGAGACGAGUCGGAUCGGAGCGCGAGCCCCGAUCCGGGUGAAACGGGCAAUCUCUGCGUGCAGCAACACCAAAUAGGCACACGUUGAUCCGGCCCGGGGAGUGUGCGGGUAGGUGGCA
RNAcentral lists this RNase P RNA (238 nucleotides) under Rubrivivax sp. RNAcentral's name for it is "partial RNase P RNA component class A". It matches the Rfam family "Bacterial RNase P class A", at positions 1 to 280 of the family's 367-position model. Rfam says of the family: Ribonuclease P (RNase P) is a ubiquitous endoribonuclease, found in archaea, bacteria and eukarya as well as chloroplasts and mitochondria. Its best characterised activity is the generation of mature 5'-ends of tRNAs by cleaving the 5'-leader elements of precursor-tRNAs. The record is from RNAcentral. Lineage: Bacteria; Pseudomonadati; Pseudomonadota; Betaproteobacteria; Burkholderiales; Sphaerotilaceae.